GUGAAUCAUCAAAUUUUUGAACGCAUAUUGCACUCUCUGGUAUUCCGGAGAGUAUGCCUGUUUGAGGGUCAGUUAAAUAAAAAUCGGGGUUUUGGCCACCUUUGGUGGUGACGCUUCUGAAUUUGGUCGUCUUUACCUUUCGUUUAAGUGACGUAAAAUGUUUUAAGGGUGUCGUAACUUAUGUAAAUUUAUUUGGUACGGCUGGUAAUAUCGAAUGUUUAUUAGAAUUGGUCAUCCUCAUGACUCACGGCUAGAAUUUUUCAUCUAAUGACCUCAAAUCAGGUAAGACUACCCGCUUAA
RNAcentral lists this unclassified non-coding RNA (300 nucleotides) under Glomeraceae sp. RNAcentral's name for it is "partial contains 5.8S ribosomal RNA, internal transcribed spacer 2, and large subunit ribosomal RNA". The stretch from base 1 to 71 matches the Rfam family "5.8S ribosomal RNA", at positions 84 to 154 of the family's 154-position model. Lineage: Eukaryota; Fungi; Glomeromycota; Glomeromycetes; Glomerales; Glomeraceae. The record is from RNAcentral.